RNAcentral lists this ribosomal RNA (499 nucleotides) under uncultured bacterium. Its description in RNAcentral is "bacterial SSU rRNA". It matches the Rfam family "Bacterial small subunit ribosomal RNA", at positions 21 to 507 of the family's 1533-position model. The record is from RNAcentral.
GGCUCAGGAUGAACGCUAGCUACAGGCUUAACACAUGCAAGUCGCGGGGUAACAUCUGGUAGAGCUUGCUCUUCCAGGAUGACGACCGGCGCACGGGUGAGUAACGCGUAUCCAACCUGGCCCAUACCACGGGAUAGCCCGUCGAAAGGCGGAUUAAUACCGUAUGCUGUCAUUAAGAUGCAUAUAUUGAUGACGAAAGGACUGGCGGUAUGGGAUGGGGAUGCGUCUGAUUAGCUUGUUGGCGGGGUAACGGCCCACCAAGGCGACGAUCAGUAGGGGUUCUGAGAGGAAGGUCCCCCACAUUGGAACUGAGACACGGUCCAAACUCCUACGGGAGGCAGCAGUGAGGAAUAUUGGCCAAUGGGCGCAAGCCUGAACCAGCCAAGUAGCGUGAGGGAAGACUGCCCUACGGGUUGUAAACCUCUUUUGUUUGGGAAUAAAGUGCGGGACGUGUCCCGCAUUGCAUGUACCAUUUGAAUAAGGACCGGCUAAUUCCGUG